AUUGAACGCUGGCGGCAGGCCUAACACAUGCAAGUCGAGCGGCAGCGGGAAGUAGCUUGCUACUUUGCCGGCGAGCGGCGGACGGGUGAGUAAUGUCUGGGAAACUGCCUGAUGGAGGGGGAUAACUACUGGAAACGGUAGCUAAUACCGCAUAACGUCGCAAGACCAAAGAGGGGGACCUUCGGGCCUCUUGCCAUCAGAUGUGCCCAGAUGGGAUUAGCUAGUAGGUGGGGUAAUGGCUCACCUAGGCGACGAUCCCUAGCUGGUCUGAGAGGAUGAACAGGCAGACGGGAACUGAGAAACGGUCCAGACUCCUACGGGAGGCAGCAGUGGGGAAUAUUGCACAAUGGGCGCAAGCCUGAUGCAGCCAUGCCGCGUGUAUGAAGAAGGCCUUCGGGUUGUAAAGUACUUUCAGCGGGGAGGAAGGUGUUGAGGUUAAUAACCUCAGCAAUUGACGUUACCCGCAGAAGAAGCACCGGCUAACUCCGUGCCAGCAGCCGCAGUAA
This 506-nucleotide ribosomal RNA is filed under the name uncultured bacterium. RNAcentral describes it as "partial 16S ribosomal RNA". It matches the Rfam family "Bacterial small subunit ribosomal RNA", at positions 30 to 523 of the family's 1533-position model. The record is from RNAcentral.